RNAcentral lists this ribosomal RNA (422 nucleotides) under uncultured delta proteobacterium. RNAcentral's name for it is "bacterial SSU rRNA". It matches the Rfam family "Bacterial small subunit ribosomal RNA", at positions 9 to 419 of the family's 1533-position model. The record is from RNAcentral. Lineage: Bacteria; Deltaproteobacteria.
GAGUUUGAUCCUGGCUCAGAGCGAACGUUAGCGGCGCGCCUAACACAUGCAAGUCGAGCGCGAAAGGGAGCAAUCCUGAGUAAAGCGGCGCACGGGUGCGUAACACGUAGGUAACCUGCCCUAUGGAGGGGGAUAACGUUCCGAAAGGAGCGCUAAUACCGCAUACAGCGUCUGAGGGAAACCUUGGAUGGCAAAGGUUGGGAUUCGCAAGAACCAAUCGCCAUGGGAGGGGCCUGCGGCCCAUCAGUUAGUUGGUGAGGUAAUGGCUCACCAAGACGAAGACGGGUAGCUGGUCUGAGAGGAUGAUCAGCCACACUGGUACUGGAACACGGACCAGACUCCUACGGGAGGCAGCAGUGGGGAAUCUUGGUCAAUGGGCGCAAGCCUGAACCAGCGACGCCGCGUGAGUGAUGAAGGCCUUC